Molecule: long non-coding RNA, 703 nt
Organism: Capra hircus (goat)
Lineage: Eukaryota; Metazoa; Chordata; Mammalia; Artiodactyla; Bovidae
Exons: 3
Source: RefSeq, a predicted model, not a curated record
GAAAGCAGGAGCUUCCUGGGGACCGGAGAGGAAACAAAUGUGGCCCGCGCAGGCAGGGUCCCCACAGGAUCCAGAGACGUCAGGCAGCACCUGCUCUGCCCUCCCUCUGAGCUCACAGCAGCAAGCAAGCUGUCAGAGUGACGUGACUCCAGAGCCUGCAGGGGCACUGCGUUGUGAUGGAAGGAGAGAUGGGCCGCUCCCCAAGAAUGCUUACUGUAACAGUCGCCGUGGUCCUGGGUUCCCUUCUACAAAGGGUUUCGUGCAGCCUGAUGCUACAGAGACCAGCGCAGGAGGAAGGCCUCGGGGGGCGCAUUCCCUUCUCAGCAGGUAGCUCAGGCAGCCCCCUCCCCUCCAGGGCCACGGUGUCCUCAUUUGUGAAAUGGGAACACUGCUACGCACGACCAACGACACUGUGAGUGAUGUGCCCAAACUCCUGUGUCGGAGUCCUAACCCCCAGCACCCCAGGAUGGGGCCUGAUUUGCAGACAGGGUCUUUAUGGAGUGGGCCAAGGGGACAAGAAUUCAUUACGGUGGGCCCGGAUCCAACAUGCCUGGUGUCAUUAUACACAGAGGCGAUUUGAUCACAGAUGGGCCCACAGGGAGGAGGCUGUGUGAAGACAGAGGCAGAGACCAGGGUGAUGUUUCUAGACAACAAGGAAUGAGAGAUGCCAGCAGACCCCCAGAAGCUGGGAGACAUGGGAGGG